Nomia melanderi (Alkali bee) is the source of this 327-nucleotide non-coding RNA. Lineage: Eukaryota; Metazoa; Arthropoda; Insecta; Hymenoptera; Halictidae. The record is from RefSeq and is a predicted model, not a curated record.
CUUCCUUCCGGCGACGGAGUGCCGCUUUCGAGCCGCGCAACGCGUAAUUAAUAUUUUGAAAAUUUGGCGCCGUUUGAAGAAAUUAAGAAGCUAACCUCUGUUGUCUUGUAUGGUCAUUCCCAUGGAAACCACUUGCGUAACUUCGUUCUGACGAUGAGACGCGCAAUUCUGCGUCUUCUGAUGGAAAAAGGGCAUAUACGUCAAAAUGCUGUUUUAGGAAGAUUGGUUUCAGUGUUUUUAAUGUUUCGUUACUUCGCGUGAGAAGUAGAGUAACUAAAUUCAAUUCUCUUUAAAGAUGUAGUAACAUAUUAUGUGUGUAGCACAUAC